RNAcentral lists this ribosomal RNA (498 nucleotides) under uncultured bacterium. Its description in RNAcentral is "bacterial SSU rRNA". It matches the Rfam family "Bacterial small subunit ribosomal RNA", at positions 899 to 1397 of the family's 1533-position model. The record is from RNAcentral.
ACUCAAAUGAAUUGACGGGGGCCCGCACAAGCGGUGGAGCAUGUGGCUUAAUUCGAGGCAACGCGAAGAACCUUACCUAGAUUUGACAUAUACAGGACAGUCGUGGAAACACGAUCUCCCGCAAGGGUCUGUAUACAGGUGCUGCAUGGCUGUCGUCAGCUCGUGCCGUGAGGUGUUCGGUUAAGUCCGGCAACGAGCGCAACCCAUGUUAUUAGUUGCUACCAGGUAAUGCUGAGCACUCUAAUGAGACUGCCUGUGUUAAGCAGGAGGAAGGCGUGGAUGACGUCAAGUCCGUAUGGCCUUUAUAUUUAGGGCUGCACACGUGCUACAAUGGAUAAUACAGAGGGAAGCAAUAUCGCGAGAUGGAGCUGAUCCGUAAAGUUAUCCUUAGUUCAGAUUGCAGUCUGCAACUCGACUGCAUGAAGCCGGAAUCGCUAGUAAAGGCGUAUCAGCCACGACGCCUUGAAUACGUUCCCGGGCCUUGUACACACCGCCCGU